CCUUCCACACUUCGGUAUCAUUUGAGGGGACCACGCUCUUCACUCCCCUGCACUCCGUAUCAAUAAUUCCUGCUUCUGGCCAGGCGCGGUGGCUCACGCCUGUAAUCCCAGCACUUUGGGAGGCUGAGGUGGGCGGAUCACAAGGCAUGGCCCAUGUCCCUGGGAACAGUAGAGACUGAGGCCUGGGUCUCAGUGGCAUCAAUUAGAGCCUUUCCCUGGGACUGAUGUACGAGUGUCUCUUUCUGUUGGCAUCUUUAAAUGAGAAGAUAAAAAUCCAGGUUAUCAUUAGCCACAUUCACUGGUCAAGAAAAAGGCCUCUGCAGAACACAGCUGAGCAGAACCACACAGAAGUGGAAGAAGCAAAGAGGUUUCCAGAAGACUCAAAACCCAAGUAUCAAGUUCUGCACUCAGUACUGAGAUAAUUGCACUACACAGAGAUGAGUGCAAUAUGGAAGCUAAACACAGGAUGCUUUGAAGAAAAGAAGAAUCCCUUCUAUUUUGUCCUGUACCUUCCUGUACCGCAUAACCAUGCUCAGAACUCAAAGAACACACAGCCUUUCUCAAGAUUAUGGCUGGAUGGAAAAAUUUCUAAUAAAGAAGUGAAAGCAAUUU
This 612-nucleotide long non-coding RNA is filed under the name Homo sapiens (human). RNAcentral's name for it is "HSALNT0305680". The record is from RNAcentral. Lineage: Eukaryota; Metazoa; Chordata; Mammalia; Primates; Hominidae.